Molecule: ribosomal RNA, 253 nt
Filed under: uncultured bacterium
Lineage: Bacteria
Description: partial 16S ribosomal RNA
Rfam family: Bacterial small subunit ribosomal RNA
Source: RNAcentral
UACGGAGGAUCCAAGCGUUAUCCGGAAUCAUUGGGUUUAAAGGGUCCGUAGGCGGUUUUGUAAGUCAGUGGUGAAAGCCCAUCGCUCAACGGUGGAACGGCCAUUGAUACUGCAAGACUUGAAUUAUUAGGAAGUAACUAGAAUAUGUAGUGUAGCGGUGAAAUGCUUAGAUAUUACAUGGAAUACCAAUUGCGAAGGCAGGUUACUACUAAUGGAUUGACGCUGAUGGACGAAAGCGUGGGGAGCGAACAGG